RNAcentral lists this ribosomal RNA (1221 nucleotides) under Triticum aestivum (bread wheat). RNAcentral describes it as "partial small subunit ribosomal RNA". Lineage: Eukaryota; Viridiplantae; Streptophyta; Magnoliopsida; Poales; Poaceae. The record is from RNAcentral.
AUGGCGUCGUUCAUGGCGGCCGUUCUGGUCGUGAUGCUCUUGGCAUCCAGUGCGCCGGCGAGCGAGGCCAGCCCGGCGCCCGCCGAGACUCAGCAGAAUGUGUUCAUCGUCGACAACUACGGUGCCCGUGGCGACGGGAAGCACGACGACGCGCAGCCGCUCGCCAAGGCGUGGAACGCGGCGUGUUCCUCUUCCCGGCCAGCCGUGCUGCUCGUUCCCGAGGGCAAGACCUACCUGCUCAGCUCCGUCACCUUGUCUGGCCCAUGCAAGUCCAGCGUCGUCUUCAUGGUCAAAGGGACGCUGGUGGCUCCUCGGAGCAGGUCGGCGUGGAGCCAGAACGACACAAGUCAACAAGGCGUCACCGGUCUCACCGUCUCCGGUGGCGGCACGAUCAACGGCAACGGCGGCGUCUGGUGGACGAACUCAUGCAAGGUCAACAAGGCUCUGCCGUGCACCAAGGCGCCGACGGCCCUCACGUUUCACCAGUGCAACAAUCUGCAGGUGGAGAACCUUAAGCUAGUAAACAGCCAGCAGAUCCAUCUCUCGGUCGAGGACUGCAGCGGCGUGCAACUGGCCCGCCUGUCCAUCACGGCGCCCGGCACCAGCCCCAACACCGACGGCAUCCACGUCACCCGUAGCAGAGAUGUGCAAGUCAAAGAUUGCGUCAUCAAGACCGGGGACGACUGCGUCUCCAUCGAGAAUGGAACCCACAAUCUUUUUGUCAGUAAAGUUGUUUGUGGUCCGGGGCAUGGAAUUAGUGUCGGGAGCUUAGGAGACGGCAACUCCAGAGCCGAGGUCUCUGGAAUCACAAUCGACUCGGUGCAAUUAUACGGCACCACCAAUGGUGCCCGGAUCAAGACAUGGCAGGGAGGGAGCGGGUAUGCCAAGGGCAUCACGUUCCAGAACAUGGUCAUGGACAACGUGCAAAACCCCAUUAUCAUUGACCAGAACUACUGCGACUCCGCCAAGCCAUGCAAUAGAGGUAAGGGAUCUGCUGUGGAGGUCAGCAAUGUCGUCUUCAAGAACAUUAGAGGGACAACCGUCUCCAAGGAUGCCAUCAAGCUGAGCUGCAGCGAUACCAUCUCAUGCUCCAACAUCGUCUUGGAGAAUAUCGACCUGAAAAUGGAAGGCGGCAAGGGUGACACAGAAAGCACUUGCCGGAAUGCAAAAUGGCAAGAAUCAGGAACCGUUGUUCCACAACCCUGCCAAUUCCAAAACUAG